RNAcentral lists this unclassified non-coding RNA (202 nucleotides) under plant metagenome. RNAcentral describes it as "partial contains small subunit ribosomal RNA and internal transcribed spacer 1". The stretch from base 1 to 46 matches the Rfam family "Eukaryotic small subunit ribosomal RNA", at positions 1786 to 1831 of the family's 1831-position model. The record is from RNAcentral.
AAGUCGUAACAAGGUUUCCGUAGGUGAACCUGCGGAAGGAUCAUUACUGGGUCAGCGGCUUGCCGCAACCACCCACCCUUAAACCAGUGGCCAGAAGUCGGCAUGGAGGCGAACCCCCUCUUUCGAUUAGGGGCUUAGCCCGCCGGAAUCUCGCAACCCUGCCUGAACAUUGCCGUCUGAGAAUGUGGGGAAUCAGCGAAAA